Molecule: transfer RNA, 59 nt
Filed under: Alphaproteobacteria bacterium
Lineage: Bacteria; Pseudomonadati; Pseudomonadota; Alphaproteobacteria
Description: tRNA-Met
Rfam family: tRNA
About the family: Transfer RNA (tRNA) molecules are approximately 80 nucleotides in length.
Source: RNAcentral
AGCUCAACUGGUUAGAGCCGGCCGCUCAUAACGGUCUGGUUGCAGGUUCGAGUCCUGCC